This is a long non-coding RNA of Vicugna pacos (alpaca), 1090 nucleotides long. RefSeq lists it as uncharacterized. Lineage: Eukaryota; Metazoa; Chordata; Mammalia; Artiodactyla; Camelidae. The record is from RefSeq and is a predicted model, not a curated record.
CAGAUAUUUGGGGAAAAGGGCAUUAUGAGUCAAAGAAUGGGAGCUCCACUGUUCUUCCUUUCUGCUGAAAUCAGAAGAGAAAUAGACCAAACUGCAGAAGGUGGGUAGAUCAUAGGAAGGCCUUCUGGACAGUGAGGACUGAACAGUUCAAAAGGUCUGCACAUCUCCUUCCUGGAAAGCAUUCAGGGUGACAGGAAGCCACUGCUGGCCCUCGGCAGGCUCUGCUCACUGCAGCUGCAACCAUGGUGAAUCGGGACGUAGCUGGGAAGGGGAUUUUGCAGAAACCGCGGCAGGGCUGCUGCCUAGAGGCUGAGGAUGUAGAUUAAGGUACCAGCAGGACCUGGGCUUGGAUUCUGACUCCACCAUCUACCUUUGCUGGGGAACUUGGACUAAUUGCUGUGUUAUGGUUACCUCACCUAUAAAUUGGGAGUAAGAACACCUACCUCAGUAGGAGGUAUAGCUCAGUGGUAGAGUGCAUGCUUGGUAUACAUGUGGUCCUGGGUUCAGUCCCCGGCUGAGGGGGGGGAGCGGGGGUGGGGGAGGAGCGGAAUGAAAUAAAAAACUUACAAAAAGAACACUUACCUCACAGGCUUGUGAGGAUUAACUGAGUUAACACCUAGAACAGGAGCUGGCAUGCAAUCUGUGCCCAAUAAUUGGUGGAUUGGAGGCACAUGGAACAGACAUUUUGGACAAACAUCAAAUCAAUAUUUGGCUGAAAUAUGACCGUAGAAUAAAAUUCUUGGGAACAAGAGUAAAUCUUAAAUUUUAUUUAGUUACUAUUGCAAUUUUGUUCUUCUGAAAAUUCAGUAGCCAAGUUUCUAAAGUGUGUCAUAAUGCAGAAAUAAUACUUUCUCAGCAUGUUCAGCAGUUGAAUUGUGCCUGCACUCACCACACGGCACACUUGGGAUGUUAAAAAACAGCUGGAUUUCAUCUAAGGUGGGUAGAGGGAAAUUUUCUGGAUACCCCACUUUUCUCUGACAUUUUCUUAUCUUUUUUUUGUUAUCAUGACUGGAUUGAAUGUGACAUAUCAUGGAUGUUGUAUGUUUCUUCCUUCUGAGAUUUUGAGGCAACAAAGUUGACAUUCUGCUGG